UAACACAUGCAAGUCGAGCGGAAACGAUGGUAGCUUGCUACCAGGCGUCGAGCGGCGGACGGGUGAGUAAUACUUAGGAAUCUACCUAGUAGUGGGGGAUAGCACGGGGAAACUCGUAUUAAUACCGCAUACGACCUACGGGAGAAAGGGGGCAGUUUACUGCUCUCGCUAUUAGAUGAGCCUAAGUCGGAUUAGCUAGAUGGUGGGGUAAAGGCCUACCAUGGCGACGAUCUGUAGCUGGUCUGAGAGGAUGAUCAGCCACACCGGGACUGAGACACGGCCCGGACUCCUACGGGAGGCAGCAGUGGGGAAUAUUGGACAAUGGGGGAAACCCUGAUCCAGCCAUGCCGCGUGUGUGAAGAAGGCCUUUUGGUUGUAAAGCACUUUAAGCAGUGAAGAAGACUCUUCGGNUAAUACCCGGAGACGAUGACAUUAGCUGCAGAAUAAGCACCGGCUAACUCUGUGCCAGCAGCCGCGGUAAUACAGAGGGUGCAAGCGUUAAUCGGAAUUACUGGGCGUAAAGCGAGCGUAGGUGGCUUGAUAAGUCAGAUGUGAAAUCCCCGGGCUUAACCUGGGAACUGCAUCUGAAACUGUUAGGCUAGAGUAGGUGAGAGGGAAGUAGAAUUUCAGGUGUAGCGGUGAAAUGCGUAGAGAUCUGAAGGAAUACCGAUGGCGAAGGCAGCUUCCUGGCAUCAUACUGACACUGAGGCUCGAAAGCGUGGGUAGCAAACAGGAUUAGAUACCCUGGUAGUCCACGCCGUAAA
This 764-nucleotide ribosomal RNA is filed under the name Psychrobacter sp. AD-E6. RNAcentral describes it as "bacterial SSU rRNA". It matches the Rfam family "Bacterial small subunit ribosomal RNA", at positions 49 to 806 of the family's 1533-position model. Lineage: Bacteria; Pseudomonadati; Pseudomonadota; Gammaproteobacteria; Moraxellales; Moraxellaceae. The record is from RNAcentral.